This 388-nucleotide long non-coding RNA is filed under the name Rattus norvegicus (Norway rat). RNAcentral's name for it is "long non-coding RNA NONRATT019780". Lineage: Eukaryota; Metazoa; Chordata; Mammalia; Rodentia; Muridae. The record is from RNAcentral.
UGCCACUUUAGCCGAAGGUAUCAAGUAUCAAUCCAGAGGUGGCAACCACAUGGAGAAGCAUGAAUGCUGCUAGAUUUACAGGAAUGGAAAAUUUCCGAUUCAGCUUGCAGAUGAUUGACUGAAUGGUGGUCUUGUAUGGAGAAAGUUGAUAGGAAGAAUAUAUUUUUAAUGGAACAGUGAGUCACCAGCCAGUCCUCCUGUAGCUGUUUCCCAUAGCUGGUCACCUACCAAAUCUGACAGUGAUAAAAUCUCAAUGGUUCCAGCAUCAGCUGGCCUCCAGAUUUCUACCCUGGGGUCCCAUGGAAAGGACUUCAGAACAUCGAUUCUGAGAAUGACACUGAUGUCACUCCUGGAAGUGUCCCUACUGCACUCGCCAUCAACACCACCA